RNAcentral lists this ribosomal RNA (253 nucleotides) under uncultured bacterium. RNAcentral describes it as "partial 16S ribosomal RNA". It matches the Rfam family "Bacterial small subunit ribosomal RNA", at positions 524 to 776 of the family's 1533-position model. The record is from RNAcentral.
UACGUAGGGUGCAAGCGUUGUCCGGAAUUACUGGGCGUAAAGGGCGCGUAGGCGGCCUUCUAAGUCGAACGUGAAAUCCCCGGGCUCAACCCGGGAACUGCGUCCGAUACUGGAAGGCUUGAAUCCGGGAGAGGGAUGCGGAAUUCCAGGUGUAGCGGUGAAAUGCGUAGAUAUCUGGAGGAACACCGGUGGCGAAGGCGGUCCUCUGGGCCUGUACUGACGCUGAGGAGCGAAAGCGUGGGGAGCGAACAGG